GCCACCGAAACGCUUCGCAUCGUUUCGUUUUAUGUGAUUCAGCGCAUAUCAUUUUACGCAAGCAACCCCAAAGCACGCAUGAGCACCAGUGCAGCUCCGUCGAUGAUCACCUGCUUUGGUGUCCUCCGGGAUGAACAGCAGAGGGGAUCUGUGCUGGAGGCGGAGCGCAUCCCGCACUUGAUUCCUGUCCUGGAAGGUCUGCACCGAGGAUAUGCCGCAAAGGCGGCGGAAAAGAGUAGUGUCAUGGCAGUGGCACAUCGGCUACGAGAAGAGCGCGCCCCCGAUUCCGUCAAAGUCCAGCCAAUUCGCUGGCGUGGCGAGACAGAGGAUUCGAUUCGGGCGCAGCUGCAGCCGGUGCGGACGCGACGGCGGGGUGCUAGAGCGCGAAGAGCUGAAUGCACGGGUGCCGCUCGUCACGGGCUAUUACCAAUCUACGCCGCUGAACUGGCGGUCGAGGAGGUACAUGAGUGGCUGAGAGAGCCUCGAGAGGGCUGACUUGGAAAGCGUGCCGGGUACUGCCGCCAGUGUCGUCACAACCGUGUCGGAAGCUCUUCCUGAGCAGCAGUUUCGCGAGGCCUUUCAGCGCUUCGAGAGCGUCCUGCAGAGCCGCGACAGCGGCAGCGGCGCGUCCUCUGCCGUGCACGAAAAUGCAGGGAGUAUUCCUAGCCUCAGCUCCUUGGCGGCAUACAACGAAGUGCCGUUUUCUCCGCCACCGAGGGUGCCUUCAGGGUGCUCUCAAGCGGCACCGAUGGAAGAAAGCACGGCAGACAACGCAUUGGGCUGCACUGUGGCGUACAUCGAUCCAUCGUGUCACAAGUAGGCGGGGGUAGACUCGGCGUUUUCUCUGCCGAUCCGCCAGUAAACGGAGCAGCUUUUCCCGUAGUUGCAGCGGCUUGUUGCGCUCGCCUUCACCAAGGCCGAGGCGGUGUGCAAGAGACUCGGCGUGGUGCAUGGAGUGCGGCUUGAUUUCCCGCAUCUGUAAUGCCCGUGCCUCUGCCAUUGCCCGCUCUGCUCCUCCCUAAGAUUAAUUCACAUGACGAGUACACCUCGACUAGAAGCACCAUGAAACCGCCA
This is a non-coding RNA of Leishmania major strain Friedlin, 1074 nucleotides long. NCBI's taxonomy places the organism in Eukaryota, Euglenozoa, Kinetoplastea, Trypanosomatida, Trypanosomatidae. The record is from RefSeq and is a predicted model, not a curated record.